AUUGUCCAUAUUUUGAGGAACUUCUGGCAUCUCAUUUAAUUGUUUAUCCAUGAGUUUAAGGAACUGCAGGUUCCAUUUUGUAUAUAGUGACGGUUUCCCCAAAAUGGUUAAUAUUUAUGCAUACGUCACUAUUCAUGUGAAUAGUACUAUUCAUCAAUCAUGAAUACAUAUCUAUUCAUAUGUGCAGUACAUUUGCCAGUACAGUUAUUAUUCAUGUGUACGGCACUUUUAACCAAUACGGUACUGUUACAUCAUUAAGGAAACCCAGGUCCUUAUUCACAUGUCAGGGAUCAAGGACCCUUAAGUCCGAUCACAUGUUUACAAAUAUAGUACCGGAGAGACUGCCAGCUCUCAUAUCAAUAUCAUCAUCAAGGAUCUUCAAGUCCUGAUGUAAAUGUAUGAUGAGGAUCAAGGAACUUCUGGUCCUGAUCUGUAUACUGUAAAAACUCAUCAUACAGCACAAUUAAUCCAUAAAAUAAAUUUACCGUUUAAAUAAAUUACUUGUAUGGACGUUAAUCCCGCACCAUACUUUAAAUGUGCGGUAAAGUAAAUUCAUAAAUUAAAUUGCUGUAUGGACGUUAAUCCCGCACCAUACUGUAAAUGUGCGGUAAAGUAGACGUGCUUGUAUGGGCACUAAUUCUGCUCCAUACAUUUAAAUGACAGUAAAGGCGUGGACGAUAAACCCGCACCACCCUUUAAAGUAGGUUAAUUUGCUGUAAAGUAAAUUCACAAAUUAAAUUGUUGUAUGGACGUUAAUGCCGCACCAUACUUUAAAU
Molecule: long non-coding RNA, 776 nt
Filed under: Prunus dulcis (almond)
Lineage: Eukaryota; Viridiplantae; Streptophyta; Magnoliopsida; Rosales; Rosaceae
Description: sRNA ncRNA
Source: RNAcentral